GACGAACGCUGGCGGCGUGCUUAACACAUGCAAGUCGAGCGGUAAGGCCCUUUCGGGGGUACACGAGCGGCGAACGGGUGAGUAACACGUGGGUGACCUGCCCUUAGCUCUGGGAUAAGCCUGGGAAACUGGGUCUAAUACCGGAUAUGACUCCAUGAUGCAUGUUGUGGGGUGGAAAGCCUUGUGCGGCUAGGGAUGGGCCCGCGGCCUAUCAGCUUGUUGGUGGGGUGAUGGCCUACCAAGGCGACGACGGGUAGCCGGCCUGAGAGGGCGACCGGCCACACUGGGACUGAGACACGGCCCAGACUCCUACGGGAGGCAGCAGUGGGGAAUCUUGCGCAAUGGGCGAAAGCCUGACGCAGCGACGCCGCGUGAGGGAUGACGGCCUGGUGUAAC
Molecule: ribosomal RNA, 396 nt
Filed under: uncultured bacterium
Lineage: Bacteria
Description: bacterial SSU rRNA
Rfam family: Bacterial small subunit ribosomal RNA
Source: RNAcentral